RNAcentral lists this transfer RNA (73 nucleotides) under Alosa alosa (allis shad). Its description in RNAcentral is "tRNA-OTHER". Lineage: Eukaryota; Metazoa; Chordata; Actinopteri; Clupeiformes; Clupeidae. The record is from RNAcentral.
GCAGUCGUAGCCUACUGGUUAGGGCUUCGGGCUUGGAACCGAAGGGUUGCCGGUUUGAUUCCAGACCAGUGGG